AAACAAAAAGUGCAUGUCAUGUGUACCCCCUG
This 32-nucleotide transfer RNA is filed under the name Gyrodactylus botnicus. Its description in RNAcentral is "partial tRNA-Trp". The record is from RNAcentral. Lineage: Eukaryota; Metazoa; Platyhelminthes; Monogenea; Gyrodactylidea; Gyrodactylidae.